GUGCCAGCCGCCGCGGUAAUACAGAGGUCUCAAGCGUUGUUCGGAUUCAUUGGGCGUAAAGGGUGCGUAGGCGGCGAGGCAAGUCUGGUGUGAAAUCCCGGGGCUCAACCCCGGAACUGCACUGGAUACUGCUUUGCUAGAGUACUGGAGAGGGAACUGGAAUUUACGGUGUAGCAGUGAAAUGCGUAGAUAUCGUAAGGAAGACCAGUGGCGAAGGCGAGUUCCUGGACAGUUACUGACGCUGAGGCACGAAGGCCAGGGGAGCAAACGGGAUUAGAUACCCCGGUAGUCCUGGCAGUAAACGGUGCGCGUUUGGUGUGGGAGGAUUCGACCCCUUCCGUGCCGGAGCUAACGCGUUAAACGCGCCGCCUGGGGAGUACGGUCGCAAGAUUAAAACUCAAAGGAAUUGACGG
RNAcentral lists this ribosomal RNA (413 nucleotides) under uncultured bacterium. Its description in RNAcentral is "bacterial SSU rRNA". It matches the Rfam family "Bacterial small subunit ribosomal RNA", at positions 505 to 916 of the family's 1533-position model. The record is from RNAcentral.